This 254-nucleotide ribosomal RNA is filed under the name uncultured bacterium. RNAcentral's name for it is "partial 16S ribosomal RNA". It matches the Rfam family "Bacterial small subunit ribosomal RNA", at positions 524 to 776 of the family's 1533-position model. The record is from RNAcentral.
GACAGAGGGUGCAAACGUUUGUUCGGAUUUACUGGGCGUAAAGCGCGUGUAGGCGGCUUUGCAAGUCGGAUGUGAAAUCCCACGGCUCAACCGUGGAAGUGCAUCCGAAACUGCAUCGCUGGAGUCUCGGAGAGGAAGGUGGAAUGCUUGGUGUAGAGGUGAAAUUCGUAGAUAUCAAGCAGAACACCUGCGGCGAAGGCGGCCUUCUGGACGAUGACUGACGCUGAGACGCGAAAGCGUGGGGAGCAAACAGG